This 497-nucleotide ribosomal RNA is filed under the name uncultured bacterium. RNAcentral's name for it is "partial 16S ribosomal RNA". It matches the Rfam family "Bacterial small subunit ribosomal RNA", at positions 28 to 507 of the family's 1533-position model. The record is from RNAcentral.
GAUGAACGCUGGCGGCGUGCCUAAUACAUGCAAGUCGAGCGAACAGACGAGGAGCUUGCUCCUCUGACGUUAGCGGCGGACGGGUGAGUAACACGUGGAUAACCUACCUAUAAGACUGGGAUAACUUCGGGAAACCGGAGCUAAUACCGGAUAAUAUAUUGAACCGCAUGGUUCAAUAGUGAAAGACGGUUUUGCUGUCACUUAUAGAUGGAUCCGCGCCGCAUUAGCUAGUUGGUAAGGUAACGGCUUACCAAGGCGACGAUGCGUAGCCGACCUGAGAGGGUGAUCGGCCACACUGGAACUGAGACACGGUCCAGACUCCUACGGGAGGCCGCAGUAGGGAACCUUCCGCAAUGGGCGGAAGCCUGACGGAGCAACGCCGCGUGAGUGAUGAAGGUCUUCGGAUCGUAAAACUCUGUUAUUAGGGAAGAACAAAUGUGUAAGUAACUAUGCACGUCUUGACGGUACCUAAUCAGAAAGCCACGGCUAACUACGUG